RNAcentral lists this ribosomal RNA (540 nucleotides) under uncultured Glomeromycotina. RNAcentral's name for it is "SSU rRNA". It matches the Rfam family "Eukaryotic small subunit ribosomal RNA", at positions 569 to 1113 of the family's 1831-position model. The record is from RNAcentral. Lineage: Eukaryota; Fungi; Glomeromycota.
AGCAGCCGCGGUAAUUCCAGCUCCAAUAGCGUAUAUUAAAGUUGUUGCAGUUAAAAAGCUCGUAGUUGAAUUUCGGGGUCGGUAGGUUGGUCAUGCCACUGGUAUGUACUGGUCUCACUGAUUCCUCCUUCCUGAUGAACUGUAAUGCCAUUAAUUUGGUGUUGCAGGGAAUCUGGACUGUUACUUUGAAAAAAUUAGAGUGUUUAAAGCAGGCUAACGCCUGAAUACAUUAGCAUGGAAUAAUGAAAUAGGACGUUCGAUCCUAUUUUGUUGGUUUCUAGGAUUGACGUAAUGAUUAAUAGGGAUAGUUGGGGGCAUUAGUAUUCAAUUGUCAGAGGUGAAAUUCUUGGAUCGUCGCAAGACGAACUACUGCGAAGGCAUUUGCCAAGAAUGUCUCCAUUAAUCAAGAACGAAAGUUAGGGGAUCGAAGACGAUCAGAUACCGUCGUAGUCUUAACCAUAAACUAUGCCGACUAGGGAUCGGGCGGUGUUAUUAUUUUGACUCGCUCGGCACCUUACGAGAAACCAAAGUGUUUGGGUU